AGUGAACGCUGGCGGUAGGCCUAACACAUGCAAGUCGAACGGCAGCACAGUAAGAGCGUGCGCUUACGGGUGGCGAGUGGCGGACGGGUGAGGAAUACAUCGGAAUCUACUUUUUCGGGGGGGAUAACGUAGGGAAACUUACGCUAAUACCGCAUACGACGUACGGGUGAAAGCAGGGGAUCGUCGGACCUUGCGCGAUUGAAUGAGCCGAUGUCGGAUUAGCUAGUUGGCGGGGUAAAGGCCCACCAAGGCGACGAUCCGUAGCUGGUCUGAGAGGAUGAUCAGCCACACUGGAACUGAGACACGGUCCAGACUCCUACGGGAGGCAGCAGUGGGGAAUAUUGGACAAUGGGCGCAAGCCUGAUCCAGCCAUACCGCGUGUGUGAAGAAGGCCUUCGGGUUGUAAAGCCCUUUUUUUGGGAAAGAAAAGCAGCAGGUUAAUACCCCGCUGUUCUGACGGUACCCAAUGAAUAAGCACCGGCUAACUUCGUG
RNAcentral lists this ribosomal RNA (492 nucleotides) under uncultured bacterium. Its description in RNAcentral is "partial 16S ribosomal RNA". It matches the Rfam family "Bacterial small subunit ribosomal RNA", at positions 29 to 507 of the family's 1533-position model. The record is from RNAcentral.